This 449-nucleotide ribosomal RNA is filed under the name uncultured bacterium. Its description in RNAcentral is "partial 16S ribosomal RNA". It matches the Rfam family "Bacterial small subunit ribosomal RNA", at positions 29 to 523 of the family's 1533-position model. The record is from RNAcentral.
AGCGAACGCUGGCGGCAGGCUUAACACAUGCAAGUCGAGCGGGCCCUUCGGGGUCAGCGGCGGACGGGUGAGUAACGCGUGGGAACGUGCCUUCUGGUUCGGAAUAACCCUGGGAAACUAGGGCUAAUACCGGAUACGCCCUUAUGGGGAAAGGUUUACUGCCGGAAGAUCGGCCCGCGUCUGAUUAGCUAGUUGGUGGGGUAAUGGCCUACCAAGGCGACGAUCAGUAGCUGGUCUGAGAGGAUGAUCAGCCACACUGGGACUGAGACACGGCCCAGACUCCUACGGGAGGCAGCAGUGGGGAAUAUUGGACAAUGGGCGCAAGCCUGAUCCAGCCAUGCCGCGUGAGUGAUGAAGGCCUUAGGGUUGUAAAGCUCUUUUAUCCGGGACGAUAAUGACGGUACCUCCGGAAUCAGCCCCGGCUAACUCUGUGCCAGCAGCCGCGGUAA